RNAcentral lists this ribosomal RNA (318 nucleotides) under uncultured bacterium. Its description in RNAcentral is "bacterial SSU rRNA". It matches the Rfam family "Bacterial small subunit ribosomal RNA", at positions 28 to 334 of the family's 1533-position model. The record is from RNAcentral.
GAUGAACGCUAGCGACAGGCUUAACACAUGCAAGUCGAGGGGCAGCGGGGGUGCAGGCUUGCCUGCACCUGCCGGCGACCGGCGCACGGGUGAGUAACACGUAUGCAACCUGCCCCUGUCAGGGGGACAACCCGCCGAAAGGCGGGCUAAACCCGCGUACAUGCCACCGGGGCAUCCCGGAGGCAGGAAAGGCUUCGGCCGGACAGGGAUGGGCAUGCGGCGCAUUAGGCAGUAGGCGGGGUAACGGCCCACCUAACCGACGAUGCGUAGGGGUUCUGAGAGGAAGGUCCCCCACACUGGUACUGAGACACGGACCAG